UUGGCUGGACGCCCCCUCCCCCUAUGGCAGCCAUCCUCCAUUGCUUCCUCCCCCAAGAUCUCCCCCUACGCAGCAAGGAUCGAGAAAAGGAGGGGCACAUUGAAUUGAAGAGGAAGAGAGGAUCAAGGAGAUGUUCUUCCCCAUCUCCUCUUGAAGAUUUCUUGGGGAAACCCUAGGUAUGGAUGAGAUCCUUGUUCCUCCAUGUAAUUAUAGGCUUUUGGAGGUUGUGGAUCAUGGGAAUUAAAGGAUUAGAGGUUGGAUUUGAUGUGGGGUUAGGUUUUGAUCUCGAAUUUAGUUUUCUGCAGAAUGGCAGAUUCGACAGUUUCUGUUCAUGCCAGUUUUCCGUGGUCUUAGUGGCCUCAAAAAAAUAAAAAGUCUAUGUAUGAAUCGUAGAUAAUUUGUAGAUCUUUCCGUGGCCGCGAAGAACACCUCAAUCGGACAUCCGACCAGAAAGUUAUUGCAGUUUUACUAUAGCAGUUUUUCAGUCUCAUAAUUCUGUGCAGAAUCUGUUCUCUUAAGAUUUAGGCAAUUUUAUCAACAGAAUUAAACUGUGGGUUGGUAAAAGAAGUUGUAGAUAAUUUUAUAAGCUUUCCAGAUUGUUAAAGAGUGCAUUCAUAUGAUUUGUGAAACUCCAGUUAUGUUUGUUUUACUGUGGCUGUUCCUGUUUACCUGACAAAAAUGAGUGGGUCUGUUCACUGGUGGGUUUCAUCUAGUAAAUGGCCGAAUUGGCUCUUCCAACUAUGGAGACUUUUGUAGAGGGAUAAAAGUUCUUACUUCCAGCAGAAUUUCAUAAUUUUUGGUUCAGCAGUUUUGGAGAUAUCGAAUUUUAAAGUUAACCAUACUGCUGUCUAAAACAGAUUCAGUCAGUUAUCUUGUCAGAUGUUUUAGAACUUGUAGAUGACAGAAUUUAAUUAUCUAUUGAAUACUGAAGUUGUAGAGUAUUUUGUGUAGAUACUCCUAGAGUAUUUGUUUGAUAUCACCGCUGUUUUAAUUUUAAAGAUACAAAAUUAACAAACAGCGUUGCUGCUGUAUGGCAUGUGGUUCAGGGUGGGAGUCUUUCCACUGGGUCUUGGUUUCAAGUGUAGGAGUGUUUUGUUGAUUGAUGGCAAAUGUUUGUGAAAUAUUUGUACUAAGUUUUAUGCCCACUAGCAGGUGGCUACACUCCAGAUCAUGUCUAGUACAUUUCUUCUUCUUCGAUGAAGGCAAGUGAAUGUAGCGGUGGUUGCUUCCGUUCUGACCUGUUAUUUCUAUCGCCUACACUCUAAUAUUCAGAAGUAUCAGAUUCUUUCAUAAUUGGACUCUAUGGUGAUGCUUUACUUGCUUGCAUUAUACUGAUGCUCAAUCAUAUAUUGAUGAUGAUUAUGAUUUGAGUAUGACUCAUGAGAUUAAUUCACACCCCUGAAGGUAAAUGAAGUAUUAUUUGAGGUUGGUAUUGUAUCUGAAGGUAAAUGAAGUAUUAUUUGAGGUUUGUGUUGUAUCUGAAGGAAGUGAAGUUUAUUGAUAAAUGUAGCAUGCCAUAUACAUUGCAUGACUCAUUUGCAUAUGAAGUUUUGUCGUGACCUAUGGUCCGACCGUACCGGUACAACUUAGCAUCGUACGUUGCCCGAGAAGGGGUACGAUGCGGCUUCAUACCCUUAGAGGUAUGAAGGCAGAGGACAUAUGCAUUGCAUUCAUAUGCAUUCAUUGAAGUGAUAUUUGCAGAUGAUGUGGUUUUAUACCCCCAGAGGUAUGAAGAUAGAGUACCUACACAUUGCAUUCCUAUGCAUACAUUGAAGUGAUAUUUGCAGGUAUUGUUGACGCAGGGAAGUGUUAUAGAACCUAUUGUGGUUGUUCGAGGAAAUGAGAUGGUAUUGGUUAUAGUGGGACUACUGAGUUCUAUAUCUACAAGCAUUUCUGAUUUUUAAUUGUGACUCUUUUAAAAUGUUGAUGAAUUCAAUUUGUGGUUUAAAUAUCUCGUCAGAACAAUUAGCUUGCUGAGAUGUUUCAUCUCACUCUUGCAUUACUCAAUGCAGGUGCUUGUUGCUCAUCAAGGGGAGUGGGAAGUAGCAGCACAUCCACCUUCAUUCUCAUAAUAAUGCUGCCCAGACGCAGCCAUGAUUUAAUUAGAAACUUCUUGUCAAAGGAUGUUUGUUUUUAACUAGUCGUGUGCACUGAUUAAUUCAGUUCAUGUUGUUAUGGUUGUCUUCCCAUUGCUAGCAGAUUAUUAAUGUCUUAUAUGUUUUCUUAUCAUGAUAUCUAUUUAUACUUUGUUGCUUCCCCCGUUUAUGCAAUUUUCAAAGGAGAUGCUGUCGAAAUUUUAUAUAUGAAUAUUAGAUGUGUAGUUUAGUAGCAUUCUGGGGUGUUUGUGGAUCCCGGGGUGUUACAGUUGGUAUCAGAACAUAGGCUUUAGAUUCUUGGCAAUUUGAAGAUAAAUUUGACACACUUGCACAUAUAGGAAGGGUAUGGGUUCAAAUAUCUUUGAUAUAUAUUAAUGUCUUUGGAGUGCAGAUGACAAUAGUUUCACCCCUCCCUAUUCCUUUACGGUGAUGUGGUAAGUUGUUUAUGGCUUAAUGCUUGAUAUAAUUUAUUUCUGAAAUUUUGAUAUUGUUUUAUUAAUGCGGUAGAUAUCGCUGGUCAUUGGUGAGAAUGAAGUUGUUAUUAUGCUUGUGAUAUACAAGUAUGCCUAUGUUGUUUUCACCAUGUUUUUCAUGGUUGAGUUUUAUUACAAUAAUAUUGUUAUAUAUGCUUGAUUGUGGAUGUUUCUAAGAGGAGUGUGAAUUGUGUGUUUUGGGGUACAAGGUAAUCAUCAAUUUGAAUUUAAGUUGUUGAGCGGUUGGUGGAUAGCUCCAACUAUCAUUGCAAAGAAUGAUUGUUUAUGUUGAGAAACCAGUUUUGAAAGAAAUGAAUAUUGGUACUUUAUAUGGAUUUUUGGGGGAAGUCUUUUCAUAGCCAGAAUGGCUUACAUGUCUCUCUCAUAUUGUGUGUUUUAGUUGCCACAAAGCCUAGAUGUGGUUUAAAGUGGUUGCCUGUUAGUCAUACUAAUUGUAGAAUAAAUCUUUGAUUCUCUUGAUCCAUUGAUUAUGUAUUGAUACAAUGAGGAUCUGAUGGUUCCCUUUUCGAUGCAUGCUUGUGGAGCCAUUUUUUUUAGACCACCUAUCUAUUGGUUUGAAGGAAGUCCUUGCCUAGCCUAGAGUUGGUUGGGUGUGGCUAGUCACCUAUUCCUAGAUCAUGUGGUGUUUACAUCAGCUUAAUAUGUUUGUCAAAUGUGUGAAGGAUUAGGGGUUAUUAUUAUUGACUUUGUAUGUCUGGUACUUUGAGUGCAUCGUAUGAUAGAAUGAAAUGUAAGUUUCUGAACUACAGUAGAUGAAGACUUAUAUUAUGUGUAGGUUAUCCUUACUAGUUGGAUAUUUUUCUUAGUUGAGAUGUUGAACGAAGUAUAGUGACAUGGGUUAAGCAAGUAUUGUGUUGUUGUUGGGCUAUCAAUGCUCUAUGUAGAGUUUUUGGCAUUUCUUCGAUGAACUAUGCCGCACAAGAUGUUAUUGGCUUCUUUUGGCUUUAUUGCUCCAUUAGUUCUAUAGAUUUUCUCCCUUUUGGUGGGGUGCAUGGAAUGUUAGAUUACAUGAUUAUCUUUUCAUGAUGGCAAGAAUAAGGUUUAGGAAGAUUAGGAGUUUUGUUCCAAUAGAACUACUUGUUUCAUAGUGCUUUAAGGUGAGGUGUUUGAUCUUCUUAUACAUUCGUCGGGUGUAGAUGUUUCACCAUUUAAUUAAAAUUAAUGGUUGAAGUUGGUAAGGGUUGUGCUUGGUGCAUAUUACCCCUUCAUAAAAGAGUGUUGUCUUAAGACAUUGAUGUUGAUGUAUAGCUGCAUCCAAAUUUGAUGGUGUGAAAUUGGAGUGUUGAUUGCAACUAUGACAUGCUUUGAGCUUCAUUACAUGUUGUUUCAUGCUUGAUGUUAGGUCGUGUAGUUUCCUUAGACAAUUAGUCCAAGGUAGAAGUUCUUGUGUUAAUUAAGACCAAUAAUGGACCCAUGUUUUGAAUUGUGGUGCUAUAUGGGGUACCUUGGGUGUUUUGCUUGGAGUGGCCGAAUUCGAGGUCGAAUUCUUUUUAAGGGGGGUAGAGUGUAAUAUCCCAAAAAAAAUGUUGACCAAAAGUUAAUCUCUGGUGCGUGGAUGAGGUAAAGGGUUGUGGGCCAUUGGAUGCAAAGAUAGAAGUCAUCUGAGGCGUCGUUUCUUUCUCCCACAAAAACCCUAGGUGGCCACCCCUUUUUUUCCCUUCACCCCCCCUCUUGGCCGCCACCCCCUUUUUCUCCCCCUUGGCUGGACGCCCCCUCCCCCUAUGGCAGCCAUCCUCCAUUGCUUCCUCCCCCAAGAUCUCCCCCUACGCAGCAAGGAUCGAGAAAAGGAGGGGCACAUUGAAUUGAAGAGGAAGAGAGGAUCAAGGAGAUGUUCUUCCCCAUCUCCUCUUGAAGAUUUCUUGGGGAAACCCUAGGUAUGGAUGAGAUCCUUGUUCCUCCAUGUAAUUAUAGGCUUUUGGAGGUUGUGGAUCAUGGGAAUUAAAGGAUUAGAGGUUGGAUUUGAUGUGGGGUUAGGUUUUGAUCUCGAAUUUAGUUUUCUGCAGAAUGGCAGAUUCGACAGUUUCUGUUCAUGCCAGUUUUCCGUGGUCUUAGUGGCCUCAAAAAAAUAAAAAGUCUAUGUAUGAAUCGUAGAUAAUUUGUAGAUCUUUCCGUGGCCGCGAAGAACACCUCAAUCGGACAUCCGACCAGAAAGUUAUUGCAGUUUUACUAUAGCAGUUUUUCAGUCUCAUAAUUCUGUGCAGAAUCUGUUCUCUUAAGAUUUAGGCAAUUUUAUCAACAGAAUUAAACUGUGGGUUGGUAAAAGAAGUUGUAGAUAAUUUUAUAAGCUUUCCAGAUUGUUAAAGAGUGCAUUCAUAUGAUUUGUGAAACUCCAGUUAUGUUUGUUUUACUGUGGCUGUUCCUGUUUACCUGACAAAAAUGAGUGGGUCUGUUCACUGGUGGGUUUCAUCUAGUAAAUGGCCGAAUUGGCUCUUCCAACUAUGGAGACUUUUGUAGAGGGAUAAAAGUUCUUACUUCCAGCAGAAUUUCAUAAUUUUUGGUUCAGCAGUUUUGGAGAUAUCGAAUUUUAAAGUUAACCAUACUGCUGUCUAAAACAGAUUCAGUCAGUUAUCUUGUCAGAUGUUUUAGAACUUGUAGAUGACAGAAUUUAAUUAUCUAUUGAAUACUGAAGUUGUAGAGUAUUUUGUGUAGAUACUCCUAGAGUAUUUGUUUGAUAUCACCGCUGUUUUAAUUUUAAAGAUACAAAAUUAACAAACAGCGUUGCUGCUGUAUGGCAUGUGGUUCAGGGUGGGAGUCUUUCCACUGGGUCUUGGUUUCAAGUGUAGGAGUGUUUUGUUGAUUGAUGGCAAAUGUUUGUGAAAUAUUUGUACUAAGUUUUAUGCCCACUAGCAGGUGGCUACACUCCAGAUCAUGUCUAGUACAUUUCUUCUUCUUCGAUGAAGGCAAGUGAAUGUAGCGGUGGUUGCUUCCGUUCUGACCUGUUAUUUCUAUCGCCUACACUCUAAUAUUCAGAAGUAUCAGAUUCUUUCAUAAUUGGACUCUAUGGUGAUGCUUUACUUGCUUGCAUUAUACUGAUGCUCAAUCAUAUAUUGAUGAUGAUUAUGAUUUGAGUAUGACUCAUGAGAUUAAUUCACACCCCUGAAGGUAAAUGAAGUAUUAUUUGAGGUUGGUAUUGUAUCUGAAGGUAAAUGAAGUAUUAUUUGAGGUUUGUGUUGUAUCUGAAGGAAGUGAAGUUUAUUGAUAAAUGUAGCAUGCCAUAUACAUUGCAUGACUCAUUUGCAUAUGAAGUUUUGUCGUGACCUAUGGUCCGACCGUACCGGUACAACUUAGCAUCGUACGUUGCCCGAGAAGGGGUACGAUGCGGCUUCAUACCCUUAGAGGUAUGAAGGCAGAGGACAUAUGCAUUGCAUUCAUAUGCAUUCAUUGAAGUGAUAUUUGCAGAUGAUGUGGUUUUAUACCCCCAGAGGUAUGAAGAUAGAGUACCUACACAUUGCAUUCCUAUGCAUACAUUGAAGUGAUAUUUGCAGGUAUUGUUGACGCAGGGAAGUGUUAUAGAACCUAUUGUGGUUGUUCGAGGAAAUGAGAUGGUAUUGGUUAUAGUGGGACUACUGAGUUCUAUAUCUACAAGCAUUUCUGAUUUUUAAUUGUGACUCUUUUAAAAUGUUGAUGAAUUCAAUUUGUGGUUUAAAUAUCUCGUCAGAACAAUUAGCUUGCUGAGAUGUUUCAUCUCACUCUUGCAUUACUCAAUGCAGGUGCUUGUUGCUCAUCAAGGGGAGUGGGAAGUAGCAGCACAUCCACCUUCAUUCUCAUAAUAAUGCUGCCCAGACGCAGCCAUGAUUUAAUUAGAAACUUCUUGUCAAAGGAUGUUUGUUUUUAACUAGUCGUGUGCACUGAUUAAUUCAGUUCAUGUUGUUAUGGUUGUCUUCCCAUUGCUAGCAGAUUAUUAAUGUCUUAUAUGUUUUCUUAUCAUGAUAUCUAUUUAUACUUUGUUGCUUCCCCCGUUUAUGCAAUUUUCAAAGGAGAUGC
Molecule: long non-coding RNA, 6574 nt
Filed under: Zea mays
Lineage: Eukaryota; Viridiplantae; Streptophyta; Magnoliopsida; Poales; Poaceae
Description: long non-coding RNA (ZMAY_LNC004690)
Source: RNAcentral